Molecule: long non-coding RNA, 206 nt
Filed under: Elaeis guineensis (African oil palm)
Lineage: Eukaryota; Viridiplantae; Streptophyta; Magnoliopsida; Arecales; Arecaceae
Description: long non-coding RNA (EGUI_LNC048338)
Source: RNAcentral
ACAUGGAUUAUCCCGACCAAAGUUUUACUGAAUUGAAACACACUGAUACGUUAACUCCUACUUAUUCGGAGGGAUCAAUUUCAUCUUGACUCACAUAUUGACUUCGCAAGCACUUGACUGUACCCAAAAAUCUUUCAUCACUGAAUUAGAAAUUCAAGUAAUCUUGCAUCAAAACACAGUGAGUUGCUUGCAAGUCACCGUGGUGA